This 755-nucleotide ribosomal RNA is filed under the name Cantharidae sp. CO1205. RNAcentral describes it as "SSU rRNA". It matches the Rfam family "Eukaryotic small subunit ribosomal RNA", at positions 621 to 1323 of the family's 1831-position model. The record is from RNAcentral. Lineage: Eukaryota; Metazoa; Arthropoda; Insecta; Coleoptera; Cantharidae.
AAAAAGCUCGUAGUCGAAUUUGUGUCUCGUACCGUCGGUUCGCCGCUCGCGGCGUUUAACUGGCGCGUCCACGGGACGUCAUGCCGGAUGGGCUUAGCUCGUUCGUUCGCGGACGGGCGGCUCAAUUUUUUAACCCGUCGCGGUGCUCUUCGUUGAGUGUCGAGGCGGGCCGGCACGUUUACUUUGAACAAAUUAGAGUGCUUAAAGCAGGCUAAAAUAUUGCCUGGAUAUUGUGUGCAUGGAAUAAUGAAAUAGGAUCUCGGUUCUAUUUUGUUGGUUUUCGGAACUCCGAGGUAAUGAUUAAUAGGAACGGAUGGGGGCAUUCGUAUUGCGACGUUAGAGGUGAAAUUCUUGGAUCGUCGCAAGACGGACUAAAGCGAAAGCAUUUGCCAAAAACGCUUUCAUUGAUCAAGAACGAAAGUUAGAGGUUCGAAGGCGAUCAGAUACCGCCCUAGUUCUAACCAUAAACGAUGCCAGCCAGCGAUCCGCCGAAGUUCCUCCGAUGACUCGGCGGGCAGCUUCCGGGAAACCAAAGCUUUUGGGUUCCGGGGGAAGUAUGGUUGCAAAGCUGAAACUUAAAGGAAUUGACGGAAGGGCACCACCAGGAGUGGAGCCUGCGGCUUAAUUUGACUCAACACGGGAAACCUCACCAGGUCCGGACACCGGAAGGAUUGACAGAUUGAGAGCUCUUUCUUGAUUCGGUGGGUGGUGGUGCAUGGCCGUUCUUAGUUGGUGGAGCGAUUUGUCUGGUUAAU